RNAcentral lists this ribosomal RNA (558 nucleotides) under uncultured bacterium. RNAcentral describes it as "bacterial SSU rRNA". It matches the Rfam family "Bacterial small subunit ribosomal RNA", at positions 360 to 917 of the family's 1533-position model. The record is from RNAcentral.
CCUGUUUGAUGGGGGCACCCUGAUCAGCAUGCCGCGUGUGUGAAGAAGGCCUUCGGGUUGUAAAGCACUUUUGUCCGGAAAGAAAUCGCACUUACUAAUAUUAGGUGUGGAUGACGGUACCGGAAGAAUAAGGACCGGCUAACUACGUGCCAGCAGCCGCGGUAAUACGUAGGGUCCAAGCGUUAAUCGGAAUUACUGGGCGUAAAGCGUGCGCAGGCGGUUGUGCAAGACCGAUGUGAAAUCCCCGGGCUUAACCUGGGAAUUGCAUUGGUGACUGCACGGCUAGAGUGUGUCAGAGGGGGGUAGAAUUCCACGUGUAGCAGUGAAAUGCGUAGAGAUGUGGAGGAAUACCGAUGGCGAAGGCAGCCCCCUGGGAUAACACUGACGCUCAUGCACGAAAGCGUGGGGAGCAAACAGGAUUAGAUACCCUGGUAGUCCACGCCCUAAACGAUGUCAACUAGUUGUUGGGGAUUCAUUUCCUUAGUAACGUAGCUAACGCGUGAAGUUGACCGCCUGGGGAGUACGGUCGCAAGAUUAAAACUCAAAGGAAUUGACGGA